RNAcentral lists this long non-coding RNA (2021 nucleotides) under Nothobranchius furzeri (turquoise killifish). Its description in RNAcentral is "lncRNA (ENSNFUG00015017864.1)". The record is from RNAcentral. Lineage: Eukaryota; Metazoa; Chordata; Actinopteri; Cyprinodontiformes; Nothobranchiidae.
AGGCAAUUAAGUGAAAAGUCAUUUUUCAGUUGAGGUAUUUUUUGCCGCUUUGAAAGUCCUUCAUACACUUCAUGUUCUGACAGCAGCAGUGGGCUAUUUACCUUUUUUCUCUUAUGUUUGACUUUUCUGUUCACUCAUUUUUCAAUACAUUUGCAGUGGCCUUUAUUAUAAAUGAAUGUCUUGUGAGCCGAUCUCUGUGGGGAAUGUGGGCUUUUUUGUACCCUGCAAGGCAUUCAUUCCUACUACAGACCACCGCAAAUGCAUUGAUUAAAAAUGUUGGAUUAAACAAGUAACGCACACCUUAAAGUUCCCUGUUCAUGCCUUUCAUUAACACUAUGCCCACUCUGUCCCCGAAAUUGGGGUUAAAACUAAAAAACAGAUGGAUGUCCUACGAUCAUCUACCUUUUAAAAGCUUUGUUAGAAUCACAUUUUUUCCUUCGUCGUUACAAAAUCAGGAGAUUAAAAAUUAACUGUUUCAUUCUCUUGCUAGUCGUUAUUUUUCUUUUUUUUUUUUUAUUAGCAACCUUUGCCAAUGCUGGUUGGGGUCACAAGUUCCUGGAGCUGUUAUUUUGUGGAUUCUUUAUUGUGUGAGAUUUUUUAUCUCAUCACACCAUAAACAACUCCUGUUGGCUGUUUUUUUUUUUCUUUUCUCACUUGUGGUUGCAAAGAGCCUUGUAGUGAUAUCUCAAAUGGCUUUUUGGAGCUCUACCCAACCUGACAAGUUUAAAAGCAAAGCAUUACAAGAGCUUUGGUAGAGAAAGAAAAAGAUUAUGACUCUGUGAAACAUUUUUGGAGACUGAUGAGUUGUUUGAUCCAUAACCUGCUCCAUCCAUUUACGAGUAUGUGGUACACCUGUUACAACCGGAUGAGGGAGUGCCAUGCACCAGGAGGCUUGCACUCUCGCUGUAGACGCUUGCAGUUCUGGUCAAUUUUAAAGGUUUCUGUUAUGGAAAUUUUGCCCAAAUGAGCAGACCAUGUGAUCAAUGUUCUGUAACUCAACAUGGAGCAGAGCUUUGUAAUCAUGUGUGACAAAAAUCACAAGGACUAUCGAAGCCCUGAAGCAAGAGGGCAGUGUGCGUGCGUGCAUGUGUACGAGUGUGUUGUGUGUGUGUGCGUGCAUGUGUAUGAGUGUGUGUAUCAGUGUGUAAGUGUGGACAGUUGAUGACAAAUCAGUCCUACUCCGUUUGCAGCAUUUAUCAGCAGUGGUCAAGUGGGCAGGUCUGAUUGGCUUUUUCUUUUUGUAGCUUUUAUUUGAAGCCAGAGAUAAUCGCCGGCAGCAAUUACAGGAUUUUAUCAGAGCAGGACUCAGUUACUCCCCCCACUGCCAGGACAAAUUAAAAGAAACACCCGCCUAAUGAUUUGCCUGCCAUCCUUUUUGCUGAAGAGUUUCCUGUGUGGGAUAGGAUGAUAUCUGUAUGUAAAUUGUUUUUAAAAAGACCCAUUUCUACCUAUAAUGCUAGAAAAUGUUCAAUAAAGCAAUGUGCUUAAUAUAUUUAGACUUUUUUCCAAAAUAAUGAAAUGUAAUCUUAGCAUUUGUUAAAAAAUCUGGUUUGUGCAUUUGUUCUUAUUUAGUCUAUCAAAAUUCCGUAAACUCAUCUCAAACUAGAUCUAAUUUAAAUAAUCAAAAAAUAAAUAAAUUAGUUGCAAGACACUGAUGACUAGUUGAGUGGUUUUCCUGUAACCACAAAGUAUUUCCAUAAAAGUGGGGUUGUGUUUGUUUUGGCUCCUGUUUGUUCACCCCGCUGUGUGCAAUCAGAGUUGACAUGUCAGUCAGUGACAGCAAACUCUUUGUGUCAUUUUAAAACAACGAUGAUCCACAGAUGCUUCCAUUUCAAUAACUGAUUUAAAAUCUGAAAACCUUCUCUUGUAGCCGUCAGACGGAAAACUGUUGCAGUUUAGCUUCGGUUUAGGCAGCAAAAAGAUGCAGCCUGACAUAUCAGAGUUUAUCUGCAUUGCCUGACAUUAUACACUCUUUGAUGUGACAAUUGCAUGCAAAUGUGCAUGACAUAAUGUUACACACA